CCCCGGUACCUCGUUAGGCGAGCCUGCUCUCGCCCUGGUUCUCGGGUGCUAGGAGACCGCUGCCGGCGUCGGGUUGUGCGGGACGCUAACUGUAUCCUCUGGAUUUAACUCUGUGAGCCCACGCGCGGAGGAGCUGCGGAUAAGCGCCCCGGAAGCGCCCUGGAGCCCCCAAACAGAGCGCGGCCGCUGGGGGAUUGCGCGCGGCGCCGGGUCCGGGCGGGGCCAACUUUUCUGUCGGAGGACGCGAACCGGCACGCUGCGCCUUUAAGGGGUCCAGCUGGGCUGGGCGCCCGAGCUGGGAACGGCGCGGGUAGCAGCGCGGCUGCAGGUCCGAGUCCGGGGCUAGGGACCGAGUGCCGGGGUCCAGGCCCGGCGGCGGGACCCAGGCGGCUGAGGCCGGUCAGAAUCUCAUUUUCAGCUUCUGCCAGAGCCAGGAGCAGCUGGGAAAGAAGGCUGUGCUCUUUGAAGAGUGAGUAUGGAUUUUAACCACCAUAGAUUUACCCCAAAAGGCAGCCUUUAAUGAGACUGGGACUGCUGUUGGGAGCCCCGCUUCCGAGCCCUCUGCAGGCCAAACUGUGCUGCAUGAUUUCUCUGAUCAGUAGGUCUGGUGGGAAGGGAUUCGGCACCUGGUGGUUUUCAAAGCUCUGGUGCACACCCUAAAAACUCCCUACAAAUAGUUCUGAAAGACUCUGCGGGGGAACCCGGCUCUGAAUUUGAAGGGAGUCUGGAAGGCAUGGGCUCUUGGGCCCCAAUGCUUUCCUGGAAAGGGGACACUUGAACCGGCCCUGAGGGCAGAGAAGAGUUCAUCAGGCGCCCAGACAUGGGAGUGCUCCACACCAAGGGGUCAGCAGGAAGGAAGACAGAAUGAAGCUGUGUGGGGCUUGCAUGGGGGCUGGGAGCUGGUUAUUUGGAGUGCAGGCAAAGACAUGGGUGUCAGGACUGGGAAGUUGAGCUGGGACCACAUGGGGCGGUCAGAGUUCACAUUUUAUUUGGUGGAUAUGAGACCAGCAUAGCCUGAUCCGUGGUGUGAACUGAGAAGAUUCCUGUGGCAGCUGAUGGUGGUGGGACUGUGGGGCAUGAAAGAAUAGCCUUUACGGAAACAGGAGGGAGAGGAAGGGAGGACCUGGACCCAGUGUGGUGACUGAGGGGAGCUGCGGUCCGACUCAUACAAAGUCCUACACCUGGUGACAAUUUUUCUUUUUAUCUUACAUUCCUAGUAAAUGUUGAACCCAACUGGGAUUGGGUUUUUAGGGAUUAGUUUUUAGGGAUGUAAGUCCCCUAAGGCUGUGCUGUCUAAUAUGGUAGUUCUUAUCCACAUGUAGCUGUUGAGCACUUGAAGUGUGGCUAGUGUGGCUGAAGAACUGAAGUCUGAAUUUUCUUUGGCUUUAAUCGAUUUAAGUUUAAAUUGCCAUAUAUCGGACAGUGCAGUUUGUUUAGACUUGGACAAGUUGACUCCAGUGCUGGUGCCUCUUCACCUUUGCCUAAC
RNAcentral lists this long non-coding RNA (1486 nucleotides) under Piliocolobus tephrosceles (Ugandan red Colobus). Its description in RNAcentral is "lncRNA (ENSPTEG00000023986.1)". The record is from RNAcentral. Lineage: Eukaryota; Metazoa; Chordata; Mammalia; Primates; Cercopithecidae.